This 425-nucleotide ribosomal RNA is filed under the name uncultured bacterium. RNAcentral's name for it is "partial 16S ribosomal RNA". It matches the Rfam family "Bacterial small subunit ribosomal RNA", at positions 354 to 796 of the family's 1533-position model. The record is from RNAcentral.
GUUAGGAAUAUUGGACAAUGGGCGCAAGCCUGAUCCAGCCAUGCCGCGUGAGUGAUGAAGGCCCUAGGGUUGUAAAGCUCUUUCACCGGUGAAGAUAAUGACGGUAACCGGAGAAGAAGCCCCGGCUAACUUCGUGCCAGCAGCCGCGGUAAUACGAAGGGGGCUAGCGUUGUUCGGAAUUACUGGGCGUAAAGCGCACGUAGGCGGACAUUUAAGUCAGGGGUGAAAUCCCAGAGCUCAACUCUGGAACUGCCUUUGAUACUGGGUGUCUUGAGUAUGGAAGAGGUAAGUGGAAUUCCGAGUGUAGAGGUGAAAUUCGUAGAUAUUCGGAGGAACACCAGUGGCGAAGGCGGCUUACUGGUCCAUUACUGACGCUGAGGUGCGAAAGCGUGGGGAGCAAACAGGAUUAGAAACCCGUGUAGUCC